AUGCGGUUAGGGUUCCUCCGCCUUACGCUGCCGCCUUCCGGUGUGUUCGCCCGACUCAGUCUUCUUCACCUCUUUCAGCUCCGGCUGCAUGAUGAUUAUGAUCAAAACUCCGUCAAGCUUGGCGAGAUGGCACACCUACAACGGCUUGACGUCCAACAAUUUAUCGUAUAUGGAAAGGACUACAUUAUUGCUUCGCACAACCGUAAUUGUGCGCUUCUUUUGCGGCGCUUUGAACGCCUACACAGUCUUGUUAUCACUCUUCAUUGCCCCCCGGACAUAGCUAACAAGAAAUACUUGAUGGAAGAUAUAACAAGGGUUCCUGAUGUUAAAUUAUUGGGAUUGGGCAUAACAGCAUGUGGACAUUCCUUUGGAGCCAGCUUAUUUCAUGUUCUGAGGAUGUGUACUGCAAUAAGAAGGCUGAAUCUUGGUCUUAUCGUCGCACCUGAACACGAGGCAGAAACUGUGUGCCCAUCAGGUUGUAUAUGUGAUCAGCCGCCAAGCUGGAAAACCAGGGAACUCGUGUUGAAUUGCCUCGAAGAAGUAGAAAUAUUUGACUUGAAAGGAAGUGAGCAUGAAAUCAGUGUUGUGAAUCGUCUAUUCAGUUGGGCACCGGUGCUAAAAAGGAUGACAGUAAAUUUCCAUUACUCGGUCACGGAAAACAAAGCUGAAGAGCUCUGCCAAGUGUUACUAACCUUUUCCAGGCCGGAAAUAUGUAUGAUUUGUAGGAUGCCCAACAUGUCGGAGAAAGUUUUGCAUGCUUAA
This 762-nucleotide ribosomal RNA is filed under the name Triticum aestivum (bread wheat). RNAcentral's name for it is "partial small subunit ribosomal RNA". Lineage: Eukaryota; Viridiplantae; Streptophyta; Magnoliopsida; Poales; Poaceae. The record is from RNAcentral.